UGGGGAAUUUUGGACAAUGGGGGCAACCCUGAUCCAGCAAUGCCGCGUGUGUGAAGAAGGCCUUCGGGUUGUAAAGCACUUUUGUCCGGGAAGAAAUCGCACCUGAUAAUACCGGGUGUGGAUGACGGUACCGGAAGAAUAAGGACCGGCUAACUACGUGCCAGCAGCCGCGGUAAUACGUAGGGUCCAAGCGUUAAUCGGAAUUACUGGGCGUAAAGCGUGCGCAGGCGGUCGUGCAAGACCGAUGUGAAAUCCCCGGGCUUAACCUGGGAAUUGCAUUGGUGACUGCACGGCUAGAGUGUGUCAGAGGGGGGUAGAAUUCCACGUGUAGCAGUGAAAUGCGUAGAGAUGUGGAGGAAUACCGAUGGCGAAGGCAGCCCCCUGGGAUAACACUGACGCUCAUGCACGAAAGCGUGGGGAGCAAACAGG
RNAcentral lists this ribosomal RNA (429 nucleotides) under bacterium. RNAcentral describes it as "partial 16S ribosomal RNA". It matches the Rfam family "Bacterial small subunit ribosomal RNA", at positions 355 to 776 of the family's 1533-position model. The record is from RNAcentral.